UUACCUGCCUUGUUUGGUGAUAGGAAUUAAAAUUUGUUCCGACCAUUUUGAUUCUGGGAGCUGGCGUUAAGCAGGGGUUGAGUGCCCGUGAGGGAAACCUGAACCUGCUUCCAAGGCACCCACCUAUAAAAAAGGGAUUAAAAUUUAUUUCUACACGGCAAGGUGGGAU
This 169-nucleotide non-coding RNA is filed under the name marine sediment metagenome. RNAcentral's name for it is "6S / SsrS RNA". It matches the Rfam family "6S / SsrS RNA". Rfam says of the family: E. coli 6S RNA was the first non coding RNA to be sequenced, but its function was unknown until recently. It consists of 184 nucleotides that fold into an extended hairpin structure with a large single-stranded internal bulge. The record is from RNAcentral. RNAcentral also lists the same sequence under 1 other name.